Molecule: long non-coding RNA, 3207 nt
Organism: Stegostoma tigrinum
Lineage: Eukaryota; Metazoa; Chordata; Chondrichthyes; Orectolobiformes; Stegostomatidae
Exons: 3
Source: RefSeq, a predicted model, not a curated record
GGGGGGGGGGGUCAGUUCAGGACUGCAGUUCUCAAUUUACUGAUUCAACUUUCACUGGAGUAUUGCAACUAAUUCUGGGCCCCACACAGUAGGACCUAUCAGAGGAUACAGGAAGGAUUCAGAAGACGAGUCACAGGCAUGAAGGACUCUGGGAUGUAUGUGAGAAGUUGGAGAGUUGUUGUCCUUGACGAAGCAUAGAGGUGAUCAAGGUCAGAAAUCUCAUCACAUCAAGUUAUAGGCCAACAAUUUGAAAACAUAAGCUUUCAGAGUCGAAAACAUGGUAUAAAAACAAUAAAUGGUACUGUAUUAAACACCAACAAGCCACGACCAGUUCUCACUGGUCUUACUAUACACAGACAAAGAAGGACAUGAAUUCGACUAGGACAACACAUCCAUAAUAGCACAUGCCAAACAGAAACAAGCCAUGGAAUUUCUGGAGGCUUAGCAUUCCAACCAGAACUCCAUCAACAAACAUGAACUGGACCUGAUAUACAAACUACUGAGAAACACAACGGAAGUGAUGCCAACGGAAGCAUAUAAAUAACACGCAGGACACAAUACUGACACUUCAUUGGAGAAGGUGAGGGUUGUUCCUCCAGGUCGUGUUGAGCUUCGCUGGAGGACUGCAGCAGGUCUGAAACAGAAAUGUUGGCAUGGGAACACAGUGGCACGUUGAAGUGUCAAAUCACUGGAAGGUUGGAGUCAUUUUUGUAUACAGAAUUUCAUAAAGCAGUCACCCAGUCUGUUUUGUCUACACAAUAUAGAGGAUUGUGAACAGCCAAUACAGUGACUACAUUGAAUGAAGUGCAGAUCAUUUCUCAGCUCACUGUUCAAGAAAGCACUUACAAUUCAUGGAACUUGCAUCAACCCAGGAGACUCACCUGUGUAAAAUGGAAAAAAAAAGCUUUCUGCAAUCCAGCCAAGGUUGAGACACAUAACCUCAGAUGCCCAUCCAUCAGGCUGGAACACAAGACUAUGCAGAGUAAUUACAUUUUUUUUGUUUUUUUUAAAUUUAACCCAUUGUUCUAGUCAACCUGUUCAGAUGUUAAUACACAAGUCAGGAGCAAAAUCCAUACCUCUCAAAUAAGGGUAGGCACACUAUUGCUGCACCACCGUGGGGGGCUCAUUAUAUGAACAUCGCAAAAUUUCUUAUUGUAAAAUUUGUUUCAGGUAUAACAAAAUAAUAAAUUUAUUCUACAUUUUUACACUUGAAACAAACUAAUACUUCCUUUUAGACGACUGUCAAAAGGCUAGUGCUAGGUGGUGGUGAUGCUAUGUUUGAAACCUGUUGCAUGAACUGAGGCAUCAAAUUAAGCUUUUAUUUUCACACAGUACAAGUUAAAAAUUAUUUGCAAAUUAAACUGUGUGAAGCUAUGAAAGUGGGACUAGGCUAAUCAACACUUGUAGCCCCUUUCAAUAUUCAAAUCAGUCACUGCUAAUCUCUACCAUAAAUACACUUAGUCAAAAGUGAUACACAUAUCCUUUGAUAGCCUGUUUAAAGCCUGGGGUUAGACUAAUUUUUAAGUUUGACUUAACUUUCUACAAAUGUAGUCACAAUCUUCACACAGUUGGAUUUAUUUUUGGCUUAGUUCACUUCUUAAGCUCUUGCUUGAGAAGCUUAAUAGGUAUUUGUAUGCAACUUACGGAAUAAAAUCACAUUACGUUGGUCUCUAUUAAAUGUGUAACAAAUGCCAGGUGGUUGUCAGGUUGGGGGAAUAGUUUCAGGUGUAAAUAUUUUGGAAAAUGCUUUCAUAAAUUUUCCAAAGAGAUGACCACUUCAGGGUAUUUGUUCAACUUCUUGAUGACAUGGAUGGCAACUUCCUCUUGAAAUAGCACAAACAUGGAGACCAUAUCUUAGCUACCUUCAACUCUCUGGAUCAUCAUGGAUUAAAGCCAGAACAUUUUGCAUGACAACAGCAGCCUCAAGUCUACUCCAGCUGCAAGUCCUUGAUUUUGUGGUAGGCACAGGAUUUUGUGGCACAGCUGUAUUCUGCAGCAAACAUCACCAUGAAGACAGAAUGAAGGAAGCUCAAAUCCAUUAAACAAACUGACUUGAAUUAUAUCUGGCACAAAAGAAAGACUGUUAUGGCUGCUGAAAGUCCAUCUUUUCAGCCGCAUAUUAUAGGAGGUCCCCACAGAAGUAUCCUCGACCUGAAAAUUCUUGACUGCUUCACAACCAGCUUUUCCUCCAUCAUAAAGUUACAAGGGAGGACUUUUCUGAUGACUGCCCAGUAUUCAGGUUUGGGCUGUUAACAGUCAAAACAUUCAAUUGAGUGCCAGACAAUGAUGAUGACUGAUAUUCCAACCAUCUCUUGACAUUAAACAGUAUUGCCAUCUCUGAAUCCGCCAGCAUCAACAUCCAGGGGGUCACCCACUGACCACAAACUUAAAAACUAGACAGAUACAUAAAUAUUGUUACGGCGAGAGGAAGUCAGAGACUGGAAACUCAGCAAAUAUCUCACCUCCUCAGAGCCUGUCCAGCACUUGCAACAAACAAGUCAAGACAUAUAAUGGAAUACUCUUCACUUUCCUGGAUGACUGAACCCCAACAACUACGUGGUUAACCUUUAUGAAGGACAAAGCCUGCUUGACCAGCACUCCCUACCACCUCAGAUGACUGUGGAUCCAGUAUCUAAUAUUCACAUGUAUUGCAGCAAUUCAUCAAGGCUCCAAUGAUAUCCUCACCUAAACAUGAUAUCUCUGGACACCCAGAAGGACAAAGGCAGCAGUCAAGCAGAGGACCAUCAUCUCAAGGCAAAACACCAAUUUGAGUUGAAAGUACACUUCUAUUCCUUCAUUUCCACUGGGUCAAUAUUUGGAACUCCCUUCCUAACAGCACUGAGUGUAUCCCUAACUCCACAGAUUAAAACAGAUUAAGAAGUCAGCUCACUACCAUUUUCCCCAUGGUGAUUAAAGAUGAGCAAUAAAUAAUGGUCUAACCAGCGAUGCUCACAUUCCAUGAAUUAUUAAGAGAAAUAUCAUUUAAGCUUUUCCAUCAUUCAGUAGUAAUAUUUGCCUUCCAAAGUGAAAUUUAUUAAAAACUGUAGACUGUAAAAUUCCUAACAAUUACCCAUUUUAUUGGCUGUCAAAAUGAAAUUACCCUAACAUACUUAGAAAAACAGUUCGUACAUUUUCUGCUUUUGAGUAAGCAACAAAGUGGAAACCUAUCCUUUUCGUAGUUUGUAGCAAAUAAUAUUUUUAAAAGGU